AGUGGGUUUGCGCGGAGGCUCCAGUGAUCAGGCGGCAGCAGCGGAGCUCUGUGGCCGCUCUCCUCACUCCACGAUUGGACGGAGCGAGUCACGUUGUCCGUGGAGCUGUCAGUGUGCUGCUGCUGCACCAUUGUUCCCCUCCCAGCAGCCGGAAGAGUUGCCUGUGAAAGCGAAUGUGAUGUGCGUCAGUUGUGCCGGUUGGCCCCAGGACCCAGUUCACGCUCCACAGGAACCCGGUACCGGGCUUUAAAUGGUCUCACACACACGCUGGGUGCAGGAUUUUCGCAGGAGAGGAAGACGGUGACAUGGUUCAGAGAAGGAGACUGUGAGGUCCAUCGAAAGAGAGAGAGAGGGGCGUCAGUGACUGGCUGGAUGAGAGCAACAGAAAUGAAUGAACGGACGUGGGUCCCUGCAGUAUAAAUAUAUUUAAUUGAAGGUGCAGAUGCAGCAGGCCAUGAGCGGAAUACUGAAGAGGAAAUUUGAGGAGGUGGAGGCCACCUCCUCCCCGUGCUCUUCCCUGCGGGAGUCUGAUGAUGAGGUCUCCUGCAGCGAGAGUGGAGAUAGCAGUGACAGUGUCAACCCCUCAGCCUCCGGCCC
This is a non-coding RNA of Paralichthys olivaceus (Japanese flounder), 597 nucleotides long. Lineage: Eukaryota; Metazoa; Chordata; Actinopteri; Pleuronectiformes; Paralichthyidae. The record is from RefSeq and is a predicted model, not a curated record.